Molecule: non-coding RNA, 189 nt
Organism: Clostridium cavendishii DSM 21758
Lineage: Bacteria; Bacillati; Bacillota; Clostridia; Eubacteriales; Clostridiaceae
Source: Rfam
GUAAUAUAGUAAUGUAAUUGAAUAUCAGUAUUCAUUGAGGGAAUGUGGUUAGAUGCCACAGCAGCCCCCGCUACUGUAACCAUGGACGACAAAUAGAUAUACCACUGAGAAAUUUUUAUAAAUUUUCUUGGGAAGGUUAUUUGAAGGAUGAAGUGGAAGCCAGGAUAUCUUAAUGAAUAUGGGGUUUAU